GUUAGGAAUAUUGGACAAUGGGCGAAAGCCUGAUCCAGCCAUGCCGCGUGAACGAUGAAGGCCUUCGGGUUGUAAACUGCUUUUGUACGGAACGAAACGGUCCUGGCUAAUAUCCGGGGCUAAUGACGGUACCGUAAGAAUAAGCACCGGCUAACUACGUGCCAGCAGCCGCGGUAAUACGUAGGGUGCGAGCGUUAAUCGGAAUUACUGGGCGUAAAGCGUGCGCAGGCGGUGCUGUAAGACAGGCGUGAAAUCCCCGGGCUCAACCUGGGAAUUGCGCUUGUGACUGCAGUGCUGGAGUACGGCAGAGGGGGAUGGAAUUCCGCGUGUAGCAGUGAAAUGCGUAGAUAUGCGGAGGAACACCGAUGGCGAAGGCAGUCCCCUGGGCCUGUACUGACGCUCAUGCACGAAAGCGUGGGGAGCAAACAGGAUUAGAUACCCGGGUAGUCC
Molecule: ribosomal RNA, 450 nt
Filed under: uncultured bacterium
Lineage: Bacteria
Description: partial 16S ribosomal RNA
Rfam family: Bacterial small subunit ribosomal RNA
Source: RNAcentral